GGGGGAUAUUGCGCAAUGGGGGCAACCCUGACGCAGCAACGCCGCGUGAAGGAUGAAGGUUUUCGGAUUGUAAACUUCUUUUAUUAAGGACGAAAAAUGACGGUACUUAAUGAAUAAGCUCCGGCUAACUACGUGCCAGCAGCCGCGGUAAUACGUAGGGAGCAAGCGUUGUCCGGAUUUACUGGGUGUAAAGGGUGCGUAGGCGGCUUUGCAAGUCAGAUGUGAAAUCUAUGGGCUCAAUCCAUAAACUGCAUUUGAAACUGUAGAGCUUGAGUGAAGUAGAGGCAGGCGGAAUUCCCCGUGUAGCGGUGAAAUGCGUAGAGAUGGGGAGGAACACCAGUGGCGAAGGCGGCCUGCUGGGCUUUAACUGACGCUGAGGCACGAAAGCGUGGGUAGCAAACAGGAUUAGAUACCCUGGUAGUCCACGCUGUAAACGAUGAUUACUAGGUGUGGGGGGUCUGACCCCUUCCGUGCCGGAGUUAACACAAUAAGUAAUCCACCUGGGGAGUACGGCCGCAAGGUUGAAACUCAAAGGAAUUGACGGGGGCCCGCACAAGCAGUGGAGUAUGUGGUUUAAUUCGAAGCAACGCGAAGAACCUUACCAGGUCUUGACAUCCAACUAACGAAGUAGAGAUACAUUAGGUGCCCUUCGGGGAAAGUUGAGACAGGUGGUGCAUGGUUGUCGUCAGCUCGUGUCGUGAGAUGUUGGGUUAAGUCCCGCAACGAGCGCAACCCUUGCUAUUAGUUGCUACGCAAGAGCACUCUAAUAGGACUGCCGUUGACAAAACGGAGGAAGGUGGGGACGACGUCAAAUCAUCAUGCCCCUUAUGACCUGGGCUACACACGUACUACAAUGGAUGUUAACAGAGGGAAGCAAGACAGCGAUGUGGAGCAAACCCCUAAAAACAUUCUCAGUUCAGAUUGCAGGCUGCAACCCGCCUGCAUGAAGAUGGAAUUGCUAGUAAUCGCGGAUCAGCAUGCCGCGGUGAAUACGUUCCCG
This 1000-nucleotide ribosomal RNA is filed under the name uncultured organism. RNAcentral's name for it is "bacterial SSU rRNA". It matches the Rfam family "Bacterial small subunit ribosomal RNA", at positions 356 to 1376 of the family's 1533-position model. The record is from RNAcentral.